Molecule: long non-coding RNA, 1256 nt
Organism: Brachypodium distachyon (stiff brome)
Lineage: Eukaryota; Viridiplantae; Streptophyta; Magnoliopsida; Poales; Poaceae
Exons: 3
Source: RefSeq, a predicted model, not a curated record
CGUAAGGAUAGCCGCGCUAAGGACAGUCAAACUAACGAAUCCGCGCGAAUGCCACGCCAGCUCCUGCCUCGCCCUGCCAAUCCCGCAUAUCUUGCACACUCGCAUCUCUUGACGGAGCGACGGACAGCUUGGGCUUCUCAAGUGUUCGGUGGCGGCUCCUGUGAACUCAAGCCCGUCGUCAAUUUCAGGAUUUGAUGACUGUUCAAAGUCUGAAACCCCAAAUUUCAGUGCGUGACCUGAUUUCUUGCCAGGUUGGACGAAAUUGAUUGAAAUUGGGAUGAAAUUGAGACGGAAUUCCGCGGUCUUCUUGCUGAUCUGCCUCACGCGCUCUGCGUGGACUGCUGAUCUGUUAGCAGGUUAUAUGGGCACGUGGCCUCACUAGUCCAAAAUACAGCAACAAGGACGGGUGGAAAUCGCUAUCAUAUCACUGGCGUUGGUUUCAGCACCCACCAUUGAUGCUUUUUCACCAAAAUAAAAAGAAAUUGCCACAGCUCCACUGAAGGCCGGCCCUAACCAAACCCACCGCGAAGCCACUGCGUCGGCGGCGGAUCGUCCCAGAAAAGGGUCGUCGUCCUUGGCGUCAGCGGCUGGAGGAGAUAGGCGCAGGAGGCUGCGCCCUUCCGAAGCCGACGCGGCGGUCAUGUGGCUAAUCCUCGCCGAACCGUUUAAGCUGAGUAUUUAGUGCGUCUUUAUAUAAUUUUUUUGUGCUAGUGCGCAUUAAUUCUAAUUUAAUAGUGGCACUCGGAUUUAAUAAAGUAGAUGCGCAAGUUGUUGCGGAAAUUUUAGUUAACACAAAGAGUAUUCAAAAUUGAAAAAUAUAAUGAAAUUGUACAUUUUUCAUUUAGUGGGGAUAACUUGAUGGAAGUAACAUGCAUGCAUGUGCAAAAUAUGAAUUUUGCACUAAAUAGGUGUGAACAAAUUAAUUAUAUGAUAAUGUGACAUGCUUGCAUUUUUUAGAAAAAUCUAGCAGUGGUUGCUUCUACUUAUGUAUAUAAAAGGUACAUACUAGUAUCUAAUUUUGUCUGUCUCAAACAAAAGAUUCCCGGUAUUGCAGGUUGACAGAGGAUGCUUGCACUAAAAGAUACUUAAUUGACACUUGACAGACGAAAUUGGCACAUACAGACAGUUUUGGGCUUCCAGUCAGCCGGGAUGACGUGAGGGGCGACGAGCACCUUGCCGGACUCGCUGGUGAGGCGGAUGGAGAAUGGGCCCUGGAGCGGCGUGUGAUAGUCCACGUCCAUCCUCCAGAUGGCGCC